UUCGGGAUUUGGAGACGAUGAAAUUCUACGCGAUACCGGCGUUAGACGGGGCUUUUGGUCGCACCCGGCCAAUUUGCCGUAACCCGAUAUGGUUGAUUCUAGAAAUGUUUCGAUCAUUAAUAUGAGACGUUAGAAUGAGUUCUAAGGGUAUUAAGAUACUUAUUAAGUCAUAAAAUAAAAUAUACAUUAAUGACUUAAAUAAAAUGCCGAAAUCAAAAUUCGAAGUCGGAAACGGCGAUUGGACGAUCGAAACGAGUCGCGAGUAGGGUUACAUUUAGGGAUAUGAAUUUCGGGUUGUUACAAGUCCAUUCGAAAUCGGAAACGGCGUAUUUUCGUAAUAAAUUCGAAACUAUGGUGACACUCAAGGAGUACACUAACUGUAUAUUCGAAGUCUUAGNAAAGGCGUCAUUUCGUAAUCGUAGUCAUAUUCGCAUUUGUAGUCGUAUUCGUAUUCGCAUUCGUAUUUGUACUAGGUUAUAUUCGUAUUCAUAUUCGUACUCAGAUUCGUAUUCAUAUGAUUCGUAUUCGUAUUCGUAUUCGUCUUCGUAGUAGGUUAUAUUCAUAAUCGUAUACCUAUUAGUAUUCGAAUUCGUAUUCGUAUGAUUCGUAUUCGUAUUCGUAUUCGUAUUCGUAUUUGUAUUCGUAGUAGGUUAUAUUCGUAUUCGUAUUCCUAUUAGUAUUCAAAUUCGUAUUCGUACUCGUAUUUGUAUUCGUAUUCCUAUUAGUAUUCGAAUUCGUACUCGUACUCAUAUUUGUAUUCGUAGCAGGUUAUAUUCGUAUUGACCUUAGAUAUGAUCAAUAUGAUUUCUUAUACAAAGAGAAUAUAGUUACAACACUUUUUUAAAAGAAAUUUAUAUUUAACCUGCAAUUUGAAAUGUCAGUUAUCACAAACUUUGGAAAUCAAGGCAUUUAAUAAGUAAAACCAUUGAGUUGUAAAUCAGUUUAAGUACAAAAUACACUUGUACUUUUUGCUUGUAUUCCCCCUCUGAAAACAUUGAAAACCAUUGAAAACACGUAAAAAGGGUAGGGGUAUGAACUCACCGGACUCGGAAAUCUGACGAUUUCAGAUACUAAGCGUUGGUUCGGGGCUUGAUUACUUGCGAUGUCCCUAUGUAAAAUGAAAUAAUGUCCAUAUAUAUCUAAUUAGAUUUACAAUCACUAACUAUAUGGGACAUUACACUCCAAUGAGAUUAAACACCUCAAAACGAGUGUUUGGAGUGACCCGGGUGACAUCUAUGGACGUGUAAUGGCACUAAGGACUUGGAAUUUGAGUUUACUCCCCAAGAGUAAACAUUUAAGGGAGCUUACAACCACAAAACACAUACACAC
Molecule: long non-coding RNA, 1329 nt
Filed under: Lactuca sativa (garden lettuce)
Lineage: Eukaryota; Viridiplantae; Streptophyta; Magnoliopsida; Asterales; Asteraceae
Description: long non-coding RNA (LSAT_LNC008732)
Source: RNAcentral